Molecule: ribosomal RNA, 420 nt
Filed under: uncultured bacterium
Lineage: Bacteria
Description: bacterial SSU rRNA
Rfam family: Bacterial small subunit ribosomal RNA
Source: RNAcentral
GAGGAAUAUUGGACAAUGGGCGCAAGCCUGAUCCAGCCAUGCCGCGUGCAGGAUGACGGUCCUAUGGAUUGUAAACUGCUUUUAUACAGGAAGAAACCCUACCACGUGUGGUAGAUUGACGGUACUGUAGGAAUAAGGAUCGGCUAACUCCGUGCCAGCAGCCGCGGUAAUACGGAGGAUCCAAGCGUUAUCCGGAAUCAUUGGGUUUAAAGGGUCCGUAGGCGGUUUAAUAAGUCAGUGGUGAAAGCCCAUCGCUUAACGAUGGAACGGCCAUUGAUACUGUUAGACUUGAAUUAUUAGGAAGUAACUAGAAUAUGUAGUGUAGCGGUGAAAUGCUUAGAUAUUACAUGGAAUACCAAUUGCGAAGGCAGGUUACUACUAAUAUAUUGACGCUGAUGGACGAAAGCGUGGGGAGCGAAC